RNAcentral lists this transfer-messenger RNA (450 nucleotides) under Rickettsia canadensis str. CA410. Its description in RNAcentral is "transfer-messenger RNA Ricke_canad_CA410". It matches the Rfam family "Alphaproteobacteria transfer-messenger RNA", at positions 40 to 355 of the family's 355-position model. From Rfam's summary of the family: Bacterial tmRNA, also known as 10Sa RNA or SsrA, is named for its dual tRNA and mRNA-like properties. Its role is to liberate the mRNA from a stalled ribosome. The record is from RNAcentral. Lineage: Bacteria; Pseudomonadati; Pseudomonadota; Alphaproteobacteria; Rickettsiales; Rickettsiaceae.
GCUAAUAUAGCUAUAGUAAUAAACGUAAUUUAGAAUAGAGGUUGCGGACUCGGGGGCAGUACCCGACGCCUCCACCAAUAUUUAAGUGUUAUAUAUGGUUUUUAUGUUACUCCUGCGAAAGCAGGAAUCCAGUCAGCAUGUACACACUUGUUGAUGUUUGUUUUAUCACUAUGUACCUAUAGUAAGGUUACUUUUUUUGGAUUCCCCCUUUCACACGGGAAUGACAUAAAACGAGCGACCAUAAUAACAAUUUUGGGGGCGAAAUAGGAUCGACGUGCUUAAUAAAAAAAUUGCUUUUACUCGGGAUGAUUCCACCGAUGACUUUUGUCAUAUGGGUCAAAACAAAGAAACGCAAACGAUAAUAAUCGUUAUGUAGGUGCUCCAGCUUUAGCUGCGGCUUAAACCUACGCGGCUUGGGUUGAGGGUUUGCCGGGCAACAGAAAAACCCUC